This 77-nucleotide transfer RNA is filed under the name Capsulimonadaceae bacterium. RNAcentral describes it as "tRNA-Glu". It matches the Rfam family "tRNA". From Rfam's summary of the family: Transfer RNA (tRNA) molecules are approximately 80 nucleotides in length. Lineage: Bacteria; Bacillati; Armatimonadota; Armatimonadia; Capsulimonadales; Capsulimonadaceae. RNAcentral also lists the same sequence under 1 other name. The record is from RNAcentral.
GGCGCAUUCGUCUAGCGGCCUAGGACGCUACCCUCUCAAGGUAGAGACCACGGGUUCGAAUCCCGUAUGCGCUACCA